This 253-nucleotide ribosomal RNA is filed under the name uncultured bacterium. RNAcentral's name for it is "partial 16S ribosomal RNA". It matches the Rfam family "Bacterial small subunit ribosomal RNA", at positions 524 to 776 of the family's 1533-position model. The record is from RNAcentral.
UACGGAGGGGGCUAGCGUUGUCCGAAGUUACUGGGCGUAAAGCGCGCGUAGGCGGGUUGGCAAGUCCGCUGUGAAAGCCCGGAGCUCAACUCCGGAGGGUCGGUGGAUACUGCCAGUCUUGAAGGUGCUAGGGGGAGAUGGAAUUACCGGUGUAGCGGUGAAAUGCGUAGAUAUCGGUAGGAACACCAGUGGCGAAGGCGGUCUCCUGGGGCAUUCUUGACGCUGAGGCGCGAAAGCGGGGGGAGCAAACAGG